GUGAAGGAAGAUAAGUAUAGAUGUCGUGUACAUUGUAAAAAAAAAUCAAUGGCUGCCCAAUUUCUGGAAGAUCGUAAAUCUACCAUCUCUGAUUUGCACCAGACUGCUGCUCACGGACAGAAGAGAUGGACUUCAACCAUCAAUAGCCCGGUGGAGGAUUGUUAUCCAUGGUGCUGUGGAUGGUUACAGCAGACUUGUUGGGUUUCUGAAGGCCUCUGACAACAACAGGAGUGCCACAGUCAUGGAUGUCAUUCGAAGCAGCCAUCACCAGCUACGGAGUACCAUCCCGGGUGAGAUGUGACCCGGGUGGUGAAAACAACCGUAUCUGUGCCUUCAUGGAGCAAUUCAGGGGUGGUGAGAGGGGAAGUGCCCUCAGAGGAAGGAGCACACAACCAGAGGAUAGAGUGGCUGUAGGGGGACGUCUGGCAUGGAGUCUCCAACGUUUACCAUGACCUGUUCACCUUCUUGGAGACGGAGCAGAUCAUCGACAUCAACAAUGGGGUGGACCUGUGGGCACUGCACUUUGUGUUCCAGCCACGGAUGAACAGAGAUCUUGCUGUGUUUGCCAGUCAGGGGACCCACCAUGGGCUGAGGACUGAACAACGGCAGUCACCUCUGCAGUUGUUCGUCUCGGGCUCCCUGGCAAUGCAGAGGGCCAAUCUGACAGCUGUAAGGGAUUUGUUUGCCCCAAAUUCAACCACCAUCAGCUCUCAAGCCACCACCUCAGCUCCUCCUCCAACAACCAUCACCUCAGCGCCUCCUCCAACCACCACCUCAGCUCCUCCUCCAACAACCAUCACCUCAGCGCCUCCUCCAACCACCACCUCAGCUCCUCCUCCAACAACCACCACCUCAGCUCCUCCUCCAACAACCAUCACCUCAGCGCCUCCUCCAACCACUGGCGCCGCAGCUAUUUAUUGGUCGGAAUGGGUGAUUGUGCCACAAACCCAGUUCACCAUCAGCAACACACAGAUGGAGCUGUUGUGGACAAUAAUUCAAUUGGAAGUCCCCAGAGGCAGCCUGGGAGUUGACAUUCUACAGAGGGUUAUGGCAGUUAUAUCUUCAGCGCCACUCGUUCCUACUUCAACCUGAUUUAUACUCCCCUACUGGGAUGAGGGAUUGGAUGCUAUAUCUUCAGCUCCACUCCUUCCUUUGAAUCAGUUCAUUUUUAUAAUACUAUUAUACAUUUUAUAAUACUAACAUUCCCCCUCUCACACACUGUAUGAUUUGGUCUCUAGAAAGGUGCGACAGACAUUUACAACUCUAAACAGAUGGGGACCAGAGUUUAGACACAGGUGGCCUUAACAAAAGUGACGUACUUCUCCAUUCCGUUAUGAUUUUGUUUGCUCAUAUUUGGAGAGUGUCAGGUACUGUUAAGAUAUAAGGCUGAAGGUUAUUGUAUUUUGCUCUAUGGCGCUUUAGCACAGCAUUCCAUCUGCUGACACAAUGUUUGUCUUCCACUCAGUAUAACACGACCCAGGAGAGGCCUACUGCAAGCACUGGAUUAGAGCCUUCAGAGCGCGCCUGCUGUGGGAGGACAACAGAACAUUCUGAAUGGACAUUAUUAAAACA
Long non-coding RNA from Oncorhynchus tshawytscha (Chinook salmon), 1572 nucleotides. The record is from Ensembl. Lineage: Eukaryota; Metazoa; Chordata; Actinopteri; Salmoniformes; Salmonidae.